RNAcentral lists this unclassified non-coding RNA (230 nucleotides) under plant metagenome. Its description in RNAcentral is "partial contains small subunit ribosomal RNA, internal transcribed spacer 1, and 5.8S ribosomal RNA". The record is from RNAcentral.
GCUCCGUAGGUGAACCUGCGGAGGGAUCAUUACAGAGUUCUCGCCCUCACGGGUAGAUCUCCCACCCACUGUUAUCGUUACUGUCGUUUCUUUGGCGGGCCGCCGGGUCCCCGGCCGCCGGCGCCUAGCUGCCGGCGCGCGCCCGCCAGAGGCCUUCAAACUCUGAAUGUUAGUGUCGUCUGAGUACUAUAUAAUAGUUAAAACUUUCAACAACGGAUCUCUUGGUUCUG